ACGGAGGAUCCAAGCGUUAUCCGGAAUCAUUGGGUUUAAAGGGUCCGUAGGCGGAUUUAUAAGUCAGUGGUGAAAGUUUGCGGCUCAACCGUAAAAUUGCCAUUGAUACUGUAAGUCUUGAAUAAUAAUGAAGUGGUUAGAAUAAGUAGUGUAGCGGUGAAAUGCAUAGAUAUUACUUAGAAUACCGAUUGCGAAGGCAGAUCACUAAUUAUUUAUUGACGCUGAGGGACGAAAGCGUGGGUAGCGAACAGG
RNAcentral lists this ribosomal RNA (252 nucleotides) under uncultured bacterium. RNAcentral describes it as "partial 16S ribosomal RNA". It matches the Rfam family "Bacterial small subunit ribosomal RNA", at positions 525 to 776 of the family's 1533-position model. The record is from RNAcentral.